AGCGAACGCUGGCGGCAGGCCUAACACAUGCAAGUCGAACGAACCUUUCGGGGUUAGUGGCGGACGGGCGAGUAACACGUGGGAACGUGCCUUUAGGUUCGGAAUAACUCAGGGAAACUUGUGCUAAUACCGAAUGUGCCCUUCGGGGGCAAGAUUUAUCGCCUUUAGAGCGGCCCGCGUCUGAUUAGCUAGUUGGUUGAGGUAAUGGCCCACCAAGGCGACGAUCAGUAGCUGGUCUGAGAGGAUGAUCAGCCACAUUGGGACUGAGACACGGCCCAAACUCCUACGGGAGGCAGCAGUGGGGAAUCUUGCGCAAUGGGCGAAAGCCUGACGCAGCCAUGCCGCGUGAAUGAUGAAGGUCUUAGGAUUGUAAAAUUCUUUCACCGGGGACGAUAAUGACGGUACCCGGAGAAGAAGCCCCGGCUAACUUCGUG
RNAcentral lists this ribosomal RNA (434 nucleotides) under uncultured bacterium. RNAcentral's name for it is "partial 16S ribosomal RNA". It matches the Rfam family "Bacterial small subunit ribosomal RNA", at positions 29 to 507 of the family's 1533-position model. The record is from RNAcentral.